AUUGAACGCUGGCGGUAUGCCUAACACAUGCAAGUCGAACGAGGUAGCAAUACCUAGUGGCGGACGGGUGAGGAAUACGUAGGGAUCUGCCUUUAAGUGGGGAUAACCCGGGGAAACCCGGAUUAAUACCGCAUGAUCUCGCAAGAGCAAAGAGGGGGACCGCAAGGCCUCUCGCUUUUUAGAGGAACCUACGUCGGAUUAGCUAGUUGGUGAGGUAAUGGCUCACCAAGGCGACGAUCCGUAACUGGUCUGAGAGGAUGAUCAGUCACACCGGAACUGAGACACGGUCCGGACUCCUACGGGAGGCAGCAGUGGGGAAUAUUGGACAAUGGGCGAAAGCCUGAUCCAGCAAUACCGCGUGUGUGAAGAAGGCCUCGGUUGU
RNAcentral lists this ribosomal RNA (382 nucleotides) under uncultured bacterium. RNAcentral describes it as "bacterial SSU rRNA". It matches the Rfam family "Bacterial small subunit ribosomal RNA", at positions 30 to 426 of the family's 1533-position model. The record is from RNAcentral.